Molecule: ribosomal RNA, 479 nt
Filed under: uncultured bacterium
Lineage: Bacteria
Description: partial 16S ribosomal RNA
Rfam family: Bacterial small subunit ribosomal RNA
Source: RNAcentral
GAUGAACGCUAGCGGGAGGCCUAACACAUGCAAGCCGAGCGGUAGAGUUUCUUCGGAAACUUGAGAGCGGCGCACGGGUGCGUAACACGUGUGCAACCUACCUUUAUCUGGGGGAUAGCCUUUCGAAAGGAAGAUUAAUACCCCGUAAUAUAAUGAUUGGCAUCAAUUAUUAUUGAAAACUCCGGUGGAUAGAGAUGGGCACGCGCAAGAUUAGAUAGUUGGUGAGGUAACGGCUCACCAAGUCAAUGAUCUUUAGGGGUCCUGAGAGGGAGAUCCCCCACACUGGUACUGAGACACGGACCAGACUCCUACGGGAGGCAGCAGUGAGGAAUAUUGGACAAUGGGUGAGAGCCUGAUCCAGCCAUCCCGCGUGAAGGAUGACGGUCCUAUGGAUUGUAAACUUCUUUUGUACAGGGAUAAACCUACCCUCGUGAGGGUAGCUGAAGGUACUGUACGAAUAAGCACCGGCUAACUCCGUG